CCUACGGGUGGCAGCAGUGAGGAAUAUUGGUCAAUGGACGAGAGUCUGAACCAGCCAAGUAGCGUGAGGGAUGACUGCCCUAUGGGUUGUAAACUUCUUUUAUCUGGGAAUAAAAUGUUGCACGUGUGGGAUUUUGUAUGUACCUUAUGAAUAAGGAUCGGCUAACUCCGUGCCAGCAGCCGCGGUAAUACGGAGGAUCCGAGCGUUAUCCGGAUUUAUUGGGGUUAAAGGGAGCGGAGAUGGAUUGUUAAGUCAGUGGUGAAAGUCUGAGGCUCAACCGUAAAAUUGCAGUUGAUACUGGCAGUCUUGAGUACAGUAGAGGUGGGCGGAAUUCGUGGUGUAGCGGUGAAAUGCUUAGAUAUCACGAAGAACUCCGAUUGCGAAGGCAGCUUACUGGACUGCAACUGACACUGAGGCUCGAAAGUGUGGGUAUCAAACGGGAUUAGAUACCCCUGUAGUC
This 460-nucleotide ribosomal RNA is filed under the name uncultured bacterium. Its description in RNAcentral is "partial 16S ribosomal RNA". It matches the Rfam family "Bacterial small subunit ribosomal RNA", at positions 338 to 795 of the family's 1533-position model. The record is from RNAcentral.